Molecule: ribosomal RNA, 305 nt
Filed under: uncultured bacterium
Lineage: Bacteria
Description: bacterial SSU rRNA
Rfam family: Bacterial small subunit ribosomal RNA
Source: RNAcentral
GAAUCCUACGGGGCGCAGCAGUGGGGGAUAUUGCACAAUGGGGGAAACCCUGAUGCAGCGACGCCGCGUGAGCGAUGAAGUAUUUCGGUAUGUAAAGCUCUAUCAGCAGGGAAGAAAAUGACGGUACCUGACUAAGAAGCCCCGGCUAACUACGUGCCAGCAGCCGCGGUAAUACGUAGGGGGCAAGCGUUAUCCGGCUUUACUGGGUGUAAAGGGAGCGUAGACGGCAGUGCAAGUCUGAAGUGAAAGGCAAGGGCUCAACCCUUCGACUGCUUUGGAAACUGUGCUGAUGGAGUGUCGGGGAG